GCCUGGCAUGGUGGCAAGUGUCUGUAGUCUCAGCUACUCAGGAGGCUGAGGUGGGAGGACUGCUUGAGCCCUGGAGUCCUGGUCUGCGUGCGUUAUGCUGACUGGGUGUUGGCACUAAGUUUGGCAUCAAUGUGUUGACCUCUCAGGAAUUCGGGACCACCAGCUUCCCCAAGAAGCGGUGAAUGGGCCCAGGUUGGAAAUGGAGCAGGCGGAAAUUCCUGUACUGAUCAGCAGUGGGCUCACACCUGUGAAGAACCCCUGAACUCUAGUCUGGGCAACAGUAAGACCCCAUCUCU
This is an unclassified non-coding RNA of Aotus nancymaae (Ma's night monkey), 296 nucleotides long. It matches the Rfam family "Metazoan signal recognition particle RNA". Rfam says of the family: The signal recognition particle (SRP) is a universally conserved ribonucleoprotein. The record is from Ensembl. NCBI's taxonomy places the organism in Eukaryota, Metazoa, Chordata, Mammalia, Primates, Aotidae.